RNAcentral lists this long non-coding RNA (148 nucleotides) under Mus musculus (house mouse). Its description in RNAcentral is "predicted gene, 26827". Lineage: Eukaryota; Metazoa; Chordata; Mammalia; Rodentia; Muridae. The record is from RNAcentral.
UUCAGUGCCAGGUCCGUUGAGGCCACGGGAGUUCAGUGGGGCGACAGCGGCUCCCGCGGCUCGCGUCCCCCGGCUGGCUCGGCUCGGCUCGCGCUGCGCCCGCCCUCUCGGUGCCCUGCGCCGCCUCUGCAGCUGCACAUCCUCCGGC